GUAGGGAAUAUUGGACAAUGGGCGGAAGCCUGAUCCAGCCAUGCCGCGUGUGUGAAGAAGGCCUUUUGGUUGUAAAGCACUUUAAGCGAGGAGGAGGCUCCUUUAGUUAAUACCUAAAGAGAGUGGACGUUACUCGCAGAAUAAGCACCGGCUAACUCUGUGCCAGCAGCCGCGGUAAUACAGAGGGUGCGAGCGUUAAUCGGAUUUACUGGGCGUAAAGCGUGCGUAGGCGGCUUUUUAAGUCGGAUGUGAAAUCCCUGAGCUUAACUUGGGAAUUGCAUUCGAUACUGGUUGGCUAGAGUAUGGGAGAGGAUGGUAGAAUUCCAGGUGUAGCGGUGAAAUGCGUAGAGAUCUGGAGGAAUACCGAUGGCGAAGGCAGCCAUCUGGCCUAAUACUGACACUGAGGUGCGAAAGCAUGGGGAGCAAACAGGAUUAGAUACCCUUGUAGUCC
Molecule: ribosomal RNA, 451 nt
Filed under: uncultured bacterium
Lineage: Bacteria
Description: partial 16S ribosomal RNA
Rfam family: Bacterial small subunit ribosomal RNA
Source: RNAcentral